GAGCCCGGAUAGCUCAGUCGGUAGAG
RNAcentral lists this non-coding RNA (26 nucleotides) under Bombyx mori (domestic silkworm). Lineage: Eukaryota; Metazoa; Arthropoda; Insecta; Lepidoptera; Bombycidae. The record is from RNAcentral. RNAcentral also lists the same sequence under 6 other names.